GCAGGGGUUCCCGAGUGGUCAAAGGGGGCGGGCUCAAGAUCCGCUGCCAAGUGCUUCACAGGUUCAAAUCCUGUCCCCUGCACCA
This 85-nucleotide transfer RNA is filed under the name Candidatus Poseidoniales archaeon. Its description in RNAcentral is "tRNA-Leu". It matches the Rfam family "tRNA". From Rfam's summary of the family: Transfer RNA (tRNA) molecules are approximately 80 nucleotides in length. The record is from RNAcentral. Lineage: Archaea; Methanobacteriati; Thermoplasmatota; Candidatus Poseidoniia; Candidatus Poseidoniales.